UUCAUUUUAAUGCAAACUUAAUUUUGUAUUUCCUGAUUUUUUAUAUACCAAGUAAAUUCAACAAAAUAUCAAUCUAAACUAGAUUUAAAGAAAAUCAUCAAGAAUUCACAAUAUAACUUCAAGACCGUUGUGUGCCCUAAUACUCGAAAUCAAAAGUCUCAUCCACUGCCAACUUGAUCCGUUCUCAAGGGAACAGAGGGUCUCCUUCAAAUAUCUCCGUCCUAGAUACUUUUCGUUUUGAAAAUUUCAACCUUAACUUGCUCGAUCGCGAGGUCUACUUUGGUUUUGUUUAUGAAUUAGGAUUCCAAGAUUUAUGGUCUGCUUGAGUUUUUUUUAAACAGAAUUAUAAUAAUAAUGUGUUAAAAAUUAUAAUAAUAAAUUGAAAGAUUUUCGGGAAAUCAUAAUAAAAAUACCACUAAUUUGUGCAUAGUUUUUAAAAGAUACAAUAACUUUUUCUUUGUAUUUGAGCAGAUAGUUUUUUUCUUCUUUUUUUUUGGCUUCAACAAUUAUUUUGAUAUAUCUAAGAACAUUCUCAACAGAGAAAGGAAGGGAUAAUUUAGCAAAAGAAUCCGACUGUACAUGGUAGUUUCCAUCAACAAAUUAGAAAUUAAAAUUUAAAUAUUGAAAAACAAAGAGAGCAAUUUUAAUAUUAAAAAGAAAUGAUCACAGAAGAUUCUUCUAAAUGUUUUGAUUAU
Molecule: long non-coding RNA, 695 nt
Filed under: Capsella rubella
Lineage: Eukaryota; Viridiplantae; Streptophyta; Magnoliopsida; Brassicales; Brassicaceae
Description: long non-coding RNA (CRUB_LNC004121)
Source: RNAcentral